GAUAGAAAAUACAAAUGCAUACGCGUGGAUGCCUUGGAACUUGAAGCCGAAGAAGGACGUACCAGACUGCGAUAAGCCUCGACAAGCUGUCAAGAAGCGUUAUAGUCGGGGAUUUCCUAAUGGGGAAACCCUUGCAAGUAAAACUUGCAAACUGUGUAUUAAAAAUGGCGCAAGCUAUAUAGGUAUACAGAGGGAACUCGGGGAACUGAAACAUCUUAGUACCCGGAGGAAAAGAAAACAAAUCCCGACCUUGUGUCGGGAACAUUCCCCAAGUAGUGGCGAACGAAAAGGGAAAAGCCUAAACCCCGACCUAAAGUCGGGGGGUUGCGGGGCAAAUAAUGUGGCAUUUUGUUUUGCUAGAAGAACUUGCCUGGAAAGGCGGGCCGUAGAAGGUAAUAGCCCUGUAUUUAAAAGCAAAGCAAAGCCUAUUUUGUACCCAAGUACCGCGAGACACGAGAAAUCUUGUGGGAAUCCGGCAGGACCAUCUGCCAAGGCUAAAUACUUCAAGUUACCGAUAGUGAACAAGUACCGUGAGGGAAAGGUGAAAAGCACCCCGGUAAGGGGAGUGAAAUAGUUUCUGAAACCGUAUGCAGACAAACUGAUAAAGUCCCGACUUCAGGUCGGGAUAAUAUCGUGCCUAUUGAAGAAUGAGCCCGCGAGUUUACAAUGGUUUGCGUUUAGGUUAAGCUCGUCAAACGAGCGGAGCCGAAGGGAAACCAAGUCUUAAAAGGGCGUAUUUCCGACCUAAAGUCGGAAUGUAGUAAACAUUGUAAGACCCGAAGCCAAGUGAGCUAACCAUGAGCAGGGUGAGCCCGUUGUAAAAAACGGAGGAGGCCCGAACCGGUGUCUGAUGCAAAAGGCUCGGAUGACUUGUGGUUAGGGCUAAUACGGUAAUCGAACUUGGCGAUAGCUGGCUCUCCCCGAAAUAUAUUUAGGUAUAGCCUCUUUUAAUGUUGCGCAGGGGUAGAGAUACUGGAAGGGAUGCAGGCUCGCAAGAGUACUGUACCCUACCAAACUCCGAAUACUGUGCAAUUUAUAAAGGGAGUCAGUCCUAGGGAGCUAAGUUCCUAGGUCAAAAGGGAAACAACCCAGACCGUCAGAUAAGGUCCCUAAUUAAAGUUUAAGUGUGAAAGGAAGUAAGUCUGUUAAGACAUCCAGGAGGUUGGCUCAGAAGCAGCCAUCCUUUAAAGAGUGCGUAACAGCUCACUGGCUUAUUCCCCGACCUAAAGUCGGGCGGCAGACUUGCGCCUAAAAUUUAACGGGGCUAAAACUUUAACCGAAUCUGCGGAUCCCGACCUAAAGUCGAGGAUGGUAGGGGAGCAUUCCAACGGCUGUGAAGUCCUGUCGUGAGAUGGGGUGGAGCUUUUGGAAGUGAGAAUGCGGGCAUGAGUAGCGUAAUAUCCGAUGAAAAAUCGGGUCGCCGAAAGUCCAAGGUUUCCUGCGCCACGUUUUUCGACGCAGGGUUAGUCGAUCCUAAGGCGAGGCCUAAAGGCGUAGUCGAUGGAUAAACGGUUAAUAUUCCGUUACUACCAAAAAGUUGCGAUGGGGGGACGGGGUUUGAUAACAAAAGUGUCAGUAUGGUUUGGCAUCUAAGCAGCAAGCUAGAGAGUGUAGGUAAAUCCGCACUUUCGUCCCGACCUAAAGUCGGGAUACGCAAGCUGUGGGGAAGUCCGCAUGGACAAUUUUUGCGAUUUAAGCCUCCAAGAAAAACCUCUAAGUUUACACUUUUUGGUAUUCGUACCUAAAACCGACACAGGUGGACAGGUAGAGUAUACCAAGGCGAACGGGAGAACGGCGGCCGAGGAACUCGGCAAAUUAACUCCGUAACUUAGGGAAAAGGAGUCCCUCCUUGUGCGAAGCACAAGGAAAUCCUGGAAAAUUUCUAAUCUCUAAAUCCUAAAUCCUAAACGAGCACAAAUGUUCAAAACACAAAUUUCAAAAAAGAAUUUGGAGAAUUUGAAUUUUGAUAUUGUUUAGAUAUUAGAAUUUAGAAUUUAGUAUUUAAUCUAUAGGAUUUUCUUUUGCUUCGUAUGAGGGGGGGGCACAUAAAUGGCUCGAGCGACUGUUUAACAAAAACACAGGUCUCCGCUUAACCCGCAAGGGGAUGUAUGGGGACUGACGCCUGCCCGGUGCCAGUAGGUCAAACUCUAAGGUUCACGCUUUGGAGCUAAGCCCUGGUGAACGGCAGCAGUAACUAUAUUCGCGCAAGCUACCGCGAAGCGAGAAUAUAUGUGGUGAGGUUUCCGCCGAACCCAUAUAACUGUUCUUGCUUUGUCGAAGCAGUAUGUAGUUACUAUAAUAAAUUUGGCUGUAUGCUGGAAACUCUUGCAAAGUUUAGAGUACCGAAAAUUAAGGUGAAAAUCUCUAAAAUAAAGACAAUCAGCAGGCAACCCUUCUAUUAAAGAAGGUGAGUCCUCAGAGACUAUACGCCAAAUCCCGAUCUAAUCGGGAAUGAUAUAGUCCGGUCUCCAGCGAGAGUUGGAGUUAACACACACGAACUGUUCUAAGGUAGAAUAAGCGCCGCCUUAGUAAAAUUCGGCUAAAUGCUGGAAACACCGUUGUAUCCACAAGUACCCCGACCAAAAGUCGAGGGUGAAAAUCUUAGUGGUGCGGUCAAUCAGCAGGAAAGAUCAGCAGAGUAUCAAAGGCUGAAAUCCUCACUCACUAUACGCCGAAUCCCGACCUAAAGUCGGGAAAGAGAUAGUGGCGUCUGCAUAGCGAUAUGCAGUGAUUGCAUAAUGUGCGAUAAGGAAAUGCAAUCUGGAGUCGACAAUCGUCGAUAAAGAAUAUAAGCGAAAUUCCUUGUCAGGUAAGUUCUGACCCGCACGAAAGGCGUAACGACUUGAGCACUCUCUUAGCCGCCGGCCCGGCGAAAUUGAAGUGGCUGUGAAUAUGCAGUCUAUCUGCAGCUGGACAAAAAGACCCCGUGGAGCUUUACUGCAGCUUAGCAUUGAGGCAAGUUUUAGGAUGUGUAGGAUAGGUGGGAGUCCCGACCUAAAGUCGGACAACAGUGAAAUACCACUCUUUCUAAUCCUUGUCUCUCUAGCCUGACCCGUUAUCCGGGCAGGUAACAGUGCUUGGUGGGCAGUUUGACUGGGGCGGUCCCCUCUUAAAAGGUAACAGAGGGGCCCAAAGGUUUGCUUAUCCCGGAUGGAAAUCGGGAUGUAAGUGUAAAGGCAAAAGCAAGCUUAACUGAAAGACAUACAAGUCAAACAGAUACGAAAGUAGGGCUUAAUGAUCCUCCGAUGGCAUAUGGAUGCGUCGGAGCUUAACGGAUAAAAGUUACCCCGGGGAUAACAGAGUAGUCACGCCCGAGCGCCCACAGCGACGGCGUGGUUCGCUACAUCGAUGUUGUCUCGUCGCAUCCUGGGGCUGUAUAAGGUCCCAAGGGUUGGGCUGUUCGCCCAUUAAAGCGGCGCGUUAGAUGAGUUCAGAGCGUUGUGAGACAGCUCGGUCUCUAUCCACUGUGGACGAAGUUGGUUGCGAGGAUUUGCCGGUAGUACGAGAGGACCCCGGUGAACGAACCUCUAGUGUACCAGUUGUCACGCCCGUGGCAUCGCUGGGUAGCUACGUUCGGAUCGGAUAAGAGCUGAAAGCAUCUAAGCACGAAACCGACCUCAAGAUUAACCAACGGCCUCCUGGUAGACUACCAGGUUGAUAGGUAACAGGUGUAAGCACAGUAAUGUGUUCAGCCGAGUUAUACUAAUGGCCUCAUUUUUCUAUCCA
This 3726-nucleotide ribosomal RNA is filed under the name Patescibacteria group bacterium. Its description in RNAcentral is "23S ribosomal RNA". It matches the Rfam family "Bacterial large subunit ribosomal RNA". The record is from RNAcentral. RNAcentral also lists the same sequence under 1 other name.